This 253-nucleotide ribosomal RNA is filed under the name uncultured bacterium. RNAcentral describes it as "partial 16S ribosomal RNA". It matches the Rfam family "Bacterial small subunit ribosomal RNA", at positions 524 to 776 of the family's 1533-position model. The record is from RNAcentral.
UACGUAGGGCGCAAGCGUUGUCCGGAAUUAUUGGGCGUAAAGAGCUCGUAGGCGGCUUGUCACGUCGGGUGUGAAAGCCCGAGGCUCAACCUCGGAACUGCCUUCGAUACUGCGGGUCUCGAGUCCGGGAGAGGUGAGUGGAAUUCCUAGUGUAGAGGUGAAAUUCGUAGAUAUUAGGAAGAACACCAGUGGCGAAGGCGGCUCACUGGCCCGGUACUGACGCUGAGGCGCGAAAGCGUGGGGAGCAAACAGG